This 514-nucleotide ribosomal RNA is filed under the name uncultured soil bacterium. RNAcentral's name for it is "bacterial SSU rRNA". It matches the Rfam family "Bacterial small subunit ribosomal RNA", at positions 8 to 524 of the family's 1533-position model. The record is from RNAcentral.
AGAGUUUGAUCCUGGCUCAGAACGAACGCUGGCGGCGUGCUUAACACAUGCAAGUCGAGUGCGCGUUCCGUAGCAAUACGGAAUGGCGCACGGCGCACGGGUGCGUAACACGUGGGUAAUCUGCCCUCUGAUGGGGAAUAACUCGCCGAAGGGCGAGCUAAUUCCGCAUAAUAUUCCGAGAACCUUGGUUUUUGGACUGGAAGGCGUAAGUCGUCGGAGGAGGAGCCCGCGCACGAUUAGCUAGUUGGUAGGGUAAUGGCCUACCAAGGCUUUGAUCGUUAGCUGGUCUGAGAGGAUGGCCAGCCACACUGGAACUGAGACACGGUCCAGACUCCUACGGGAGGCAGCAGUGGGGAAUCUUGCACAAUGGGCGAAAGCCUGAUGCAGCGACGCCGCGUGGGGGAUGAAGCUUCUCGGAGUGUAAACCCCUUUCGAUCCGGACGAAUGCCCGCAAGGGAGUGACGGUACGGAUAUAAGAAGCCCCGGCUAACUACGUGCCAGCAGCCGCGGUAAU